UUAAAGAAUGGAAAGUUCAAAGAUGGAAAUCGUCAGAGGCUUCCAAGAUGGCUGAAUAGGAACAGCUCCAGUCCGCAGCUCCCAGCAAGAUUGAUGCAGAAGGCGGAUGAUUUCUGCAUUUCCAACUAAGUGCCAUGACUUAAGGAGUGAAGAGAGGGCAUAGAGAACAAGCAGAGUAUGCAGGGCAUAUGCUGAGAUAAGAAACUGGAUCUGAAACAAGUUGAAUACUUGCAGAGAAUCAUGGGAACCAUUAUAACAAAGAAGUCAAGAGUGUUGGUGUGGAGUGGACCUUGGUUUGAAUACUCAGCUCUGCCACUUACUAGCUGUAGGCUCAUAUGCAAGUUACUAUCCUCAUCUGUUAAAAAGGAAUAAUAUCUAAUGUUAUAUAAAAUGUAAAAGUUAUUUCACACAAUGCCAUUCACAUAGUAAAUGUUCAAUAAAAGCAAAAACCUCAGGACAU
Molecule: long non-coding RNA, 460 nt
Filed under: Homo sapiens (human)
Lineage: Eukaryota; Metazoa; Chordata; Mammalia; Primates; Hominidae
Description: long independently transcribed non-coding RNA 2231 (LINC02231)
Source: RNAcentral